AUAGUUUGAUGAUGGCUCAGAUUGAACGCUGGCGGCAGGCCUAACACAUGCAAGUCGAGCGGAAACGAUCCUAGCUUGCUAGGAGGCGUCGAGCGGCGGACGGGUGAGUAAUGCAUAGGAAUCUGCCCGGUAGUGGGGGAUAACCUGGGGAAACCCAGGCUAAUACCGCAUACGCCCUACGGGGGAAAGCAGGGGAUCUUCGGACCUUGCGCUAUCGGAUGAGCCUAUGUCGGAUUAGCUUGUUGGUGAGGUAAUGGCUCACCAAGGCGACGAUCCGUAGCUGGUCUGAGAGGAUGAUCAGCCACAUCGGGACUGAGACACGGCCCGAACUCCUACGGGAGGCAGCAGUGGGGAAUAUUGCGCAAUGGGGGCAACCCUGACGCAGCCAUGCCGCGUGUGUGAAGAAGGCCUUCGGGUUGUAAAGCACUUUCAAUUGGGAAGAAAGGUUGGCGCCUAAUACGCGUCAGCUGUGACAUUACCUUUAGAAGAAGCACCGGCUAACUCCGUGCCAGCAGCCGCGGUAAUACGGAGGGUGCAAGCGUUAAUCGGAAUUACUGGGCGUAAAGCGCGCGUAGGCGGUUUGUUAAGUCGGAUGUGAAAGCCCCGGGCUCAACCUGGGAAUUGCAUUCGAUACUGGCCGACUGGAGCGCGAGAGAGGGAGGUAGAAUUCCACGUGUAGCGGUGAAAUGCGUAGGUAUGUGGAGGAAUACCGGUGGCGAAGGCGGCCUCCUGGCUCGACACUGACGCUGAGGUGCGAAAGCGUGGGGAGCAAAC
RNAcentral lists this ribosomal RNA (774 nucleotides) under uncultured Alteromonadaceae bacterium. RNAcentral describes it as "bacterial SSU rRNA". It matches the Rfam family "Bacterial small subunit ribosomal RNA", at positions 8 to 773 of the family's 1533-position model. Lineage: Bacteria; Pseudomonadati; Pseudomonadota; Gammaproteobacteria; Alteromonadales; Alteromonadaceae. The record is from RNAcentral.